Ribosomal RNA from Notechis scutatus (mainland tiger snake), 118 nucleotides. The record is from Ensembl. Lineage: Eukaryota; Metazoa; Chordata; Lepidosauria; Squamata; Elapidae.
CUCUGCUGCAAAAGGUGGCAGCGCUUAAUUGAACUUGUCUGGGUUCAAAAGCUAAGCAGGGUCAGACCUGGCUAGUACAUGGAUGGGAGACUAUCAGGAAAUUUCAGGGCUGUAGAUU